CUUAAAGGAAUUGACGGGGCCGCACAAGCGGUGGAGUAUGUGGUUUAAUUCGAAGCAACGCGAAGAACCUUACCAGGUCUUGACAUCCCGAUGCUAUUUCUAGAGAUAGAAAGUUACUUCGGUACAUCGGUGACAGGUGGUGCAUGGUUGUCGUCAGCUCGUGUCGUGAGAUGUUGGGUUAAGUCCCGCAACGAGCGCAACCCCUAUUGUUAGUUGCCAUCAUUCAGUUGGGCACUCUAGCGAGACUGCCGGUAAUAAACCGGAGGAAGGUGGGGAUGACGUCAAAUCAUCAUGCCCCUUAUGACCUGGGCUACACACGUGCUACAAUGGUUGGUACAACGAGUUGCGAGUCGGUGACGGCGAGCUAAUCUCUUAAAGCCAAUCUCAGUUCGGAUUGUAGGCUGCAACUCGCCUACAUGAAGUCGGAAUCGCUAGUAAUCGCGGAUCAGCACGCCGCGGUGAAUACGUUCCCGGGCCUU
RNAcentral lists this ribosomal RNA (479 nucleotides) under uncultured Streptococcus sp. RNAcentral describes it as "bacterial SSU rRNA". It matches the Rfam family "Bacterial small subunit ribosomal RNA", at positions 900 to 1382 of the family's 1533-position model. The record is from RNAcentral. Lineage: Bacteria; Bacillati; Bacillota; Bacilli; Lactobacillales; Streptococcaceae.